GGCGUAGCUUAGCCUGGUAGAGCGCCUGGUUUGGGACCAGGAGGUCGUUGGUUCGAAUCCAAUCGC
This 66-nucleotide transfer RNA is filed under the name marine eukaryotic metagenome. It matches the Rfam family "tRNA", at positions 5 to 66 of the family's 71-position model. Rfam says of the family: Transfer RNA (tRNA) molecules are approximately 80 nucleotides in length. Their secondary structure includes four short double-helical elements and three loops (D, anti-codon, and T loops). The record is from RNAcentral.